RNAcentral lists this ribosomal RNA (468 nucleotides) under uncultured bacterium. RNAcentral's name for it is "partial 16S ribosomal RNA". It matches the Rfam family "Bacterial small subunit ribosomal RNA", at positions 28 to 507 of the family's 1533-position model. The record is from RNAcentral.
GACGAACGCUGGCGGCGUGCUUAACACAUGCAAGUCGAACGGAAAGGCCCGGCUUUUGUGGGGCGCUCGAGUGGCGAACGGGUGAGUAACACGUGAGUAACCUGCCCCUGUCUUUGGGAUAACUUCAGGAAACUGGGGCUAAUACCGGAUAGGAGCUCCUGCUGCAUGGUGGGGGUUGGAAAGAUUCGGCGGUUGGGGAUGGACUCGCGGCUUAUCAGCUUGUUGGUGGGGUAGUGGCUUACCAAGGUUUUGACGGGUAGCCGGCCUGGGAGGGUGACCGGCCACAUUGGGACUGAGAGACGGACCAGACGCCUACGGGAGGCAGCAGUGGAGAGUAUUGCAGAGUGGGCGGAAGCCUGAUGCAGCGACGCCGCGUGCGGGAUGACGGCCUUCGGGUUGUAAACCGCUUUCGCCUGUGACGAGGAGUGAGUGACGGUAAUGGGUAAAGAAGCACCGGCUAACUACGUG